This 490-nucleotide ribosomal RNA is filed under the name uncultured Psychrobacter sp. RNAcentral describes it as "bacterial SSU rRNA". It matches the Rfam family "Bacterial small subunit ribosomal RNA", at positions 521 to 1009 of the family's 1533-position model. The record is from RNAcentral. Lineage: Bacteria; Pseudomonadati; Pseudomonadota; Gammaproteobacteria; Moraxellales; Moraxellaceae.
CAAUACAGAGGGUGCAAGCGUUAAUCGGAAUUACUGGGCGUAAAGCGAGCGUAGGUGGCUUGAUAAGUCAGAUGUGAAAUCCCCCGGGCUUAACCUGGGAACUGCAUCUGAUACUGUUAGGCUAGAAUAGGUGAGAGGAAGGUAGAAUUCCAGGUGUAGCGGUGAAAUGCGUAGAGAUCUGGAGGAAUACCGAUGGCGAAGGCAGCCUUCUGGCAUCAUAUUGACACUGAGGUUCGAAAGCGUGGGUAGCAAACAGGAUUAGAUACCCUGGUAGUCCACGCCGUAAACGAUGUCUACUAGUCGUUGGGUCCCUUGAGGACUUAGUGACGCAGCUAACGCAAUAAGUAGACCGCCUGGGGAGUACGGCCGCAAGGUUAAAACUCAAAUGAAUUGACGGGGGCCCGCACAAGCGGUGGAGCAUGUGGUUUAAUUCGAUGCAACGCGAAGAACCUUACCUGGUCUUGACAUAUCUAGAAUCCUGCAGAGAUGC